Long non-coding RNA from Pundamilia nyererei, 270 nucleotides. RefSeq lists it as uncharacterized. The transcript has 2 exons. The record is from RefSeq and is a predicted model, not a curated record. Lineage: Eukaryota; Metazoa; Chordata; Actinopteri; Cichliformes; Cichlidae.
CCCGGGUGCCUCUUAUAGCUCGGCUCCAGGUUACAUCUCCCUGAGCAUGAGGACAGAUAAAGAGAUUCAGGAGCCUGAGGAACCAACAAACUGCUCUCUGACAGGAAGCAGCCUUCAGAGCUGCGUACGAACCUGAUGGACGGCUCUGCGAUGUGGUUUAAAAGAAAUGUCUUUACUUUAAAUAUUUGCAUUUUAUUCAUUUUGCUCCUGAAGGCGACAGACUUGAGUUUUCUGGACUUGUUGACCUGAUAAUAAAAAUUCUGAAUGCUU